UUUUUUUAGUAGAAACUC
RNAcentral lists this small nuclear RNA (18 nucleotides) under Arabidopsis thaliana (thale cress). Its description in RNAcentral is "snRNA_15582". Lineage: Eukaryota; Viridiplantae; Streptophyta; Magnoliopsida; Brassicales; Brassicaceae. The record is from RNAcentral.